Molecule: transfer RNA, 75 nt
Filed under: Paenibacillus xylanexedens
Lineage: Bacteria; Bacillati; Bacillota; Bacilli; Caryophanales; Paenibacillaceae
Description: tRNA-Lys
Rfam family: tRNA
About the family: Transfer RNA (tRNA) molecules are approximately 80 nucleotides in length. Their secondary structure includes four short double-helical elements and three loops (D, anti-codon, and T loops). Further hydrogen bonds mediate the characteristic L-shaped molecular structure. tRNAs have two regions of fundamental functional importance: the anti-codon, which is responsible for specific mRNA codon recognition, and the 3' end, to which the tRNAs corresponding amino acid is attached (by aminoacyl-tRNA synthetases). tRNAs cope with the degeneracy of the genetic code in two manners: having more than one tRNA (with a specific anti-codon) for a particular amino acid; and 'wobble' base-pairing, i.e. permitting non-standard base-pairing at the 3rd anti-codon position.
Source: RNAcentral
GGAGCUAUAGUGAAACGGUUAUCACAGUUGCCUUUUAAGCAAUCAUUUCGGGUUCGAAUCCCGGUGGCUCCACCA